ACGCUGAGAAUUCUCGAUGCCAGGCUGCCCAAGGCCACAGUGAGCAUCAGAUAAGGGAGAACUAUUCCUUUGUUCUGAAAAGACUUCAUGACUCAGGGCUGAGCUCAAUCUAAAUGACAUGCAGCGUUAAUUUCAUUUUCUACUUACUAUGUAGUCUAGGGUUCCUCCUGUUUCUCUGCCAUCUAGAGAUCAAUUCAUUUUUAUCAAUAUUUGGGAAAAUCAGUGACAUAAAUCAGCUCCAGCAUCAAACUUCAGCUGCUACAGAGAAGGCCAGGUGUAUGGAGCAAACAAAGCCUGCAGCCUGGGAGAUUAGGAACCGCUCCUAACAAUGGACUUAAUAACAUCACAUUCAUCACCUGAUUGGAUUCUUCCAACAUGAAGCUCACAGAAGGUGAGUUACCUCAGUCCCUUCUCCUGAGAGCACUCCCUCAGUAACACACUUGAACGAGUCUCCACUCAGGCUCUGCUUCUAGAGCACAUGACCCAAGACACCAGGCAACUCCUGGUUAACUCAGGACUCUGCCAGGGUUCAAUAACUCAAGUUAUCCUUCACCCUCGUCUCUCAUACUCACUCCUGUGGUCGCUGAGUAUCACCUCAUUACC
RNAcentral lists this non-coding RNA (603 nucleotides) under Pan troglodytes (chimpanzee). Lineage: Eukaryota; Metazoa; Chordata; Mammalia; Primates; Hominidae. The record is from RNAcentral.